RNAcentral lists this ribosomal RNA (216 nucleotides) under Paraphysomonas bandaiensis. RNAcentral's name for it is "partial Bacterial large subunit ribosomal RNA". It matches the Rfam family "Bacterial large subunit ribosomal RNA", at positions 2083 to 2298 of the family's 2925-position model. Lineage: Eukaryota; Chrysophyceae; Chromulinales; Paraphysomonadaceae. The record is from RNAcentral.
GAAAGACCCCGUGAACCUUUACUAUAGCUUCACAGUGAACUUUGAACCUACUUGUGUAGGAUAGGUGGGAGGCUUUGAAGCGCAGACGCUAGUUUGCGUGGAGCCACUCUUGAAAUACCACCCUGGUAUGUUUGAGGUUCUAACUCAGGUCCCUUAUCGGGAUCGAGGACACUGUGUGGUGGGUAGUUUGACUGGGGCGGGCUCCUCCCAAAGAGU